CGGGGCGUGGCGCAGCCUGGUUAGCGCGCUGGUCUGGGGGACCAGAGGUCCCCGGUUCAAAUCCGGGCGCCCCGA
This 75-nucleotide transfer RNA is filed under the name Gaiellaceae bacterium. RNAcentral's name for it is "tRNA-Pro". It matches the Rfam family "tRNA". Rfam says of the family: Transfer RNA (tRNA) molecules are approximately 80 nucleotides in length. Their secondary structure includes four short double-helical elements and three loops (D, anti-codon, and T loops). RNAcentral also lists the same sequence under 2 other names. Lineage: Bacteria; Bacillati; Actinomycetota; Thermoleophilia; Gaiellales; Gaiellaceae. The record is from RNAcentral.